UGACCUCAGAUCAGGCCAGAUCACC
This 25-nucleotide ribosomal RNA is filed under the name Sogatella furcifera (white-backed planthopper). RNAcentral describes it as "partial 28S ribosomal RNA". RNAcentral also lists the same sequence under 3 other names. Lineage: Eukaryota; Metazoa; Arthropoda; Insecta; Hemiptera; Delphacidae. The record is from RNAcentral.